CUACGGGUCGCUGCAGUUAAGAAUAAUCUACAAUGCGCGAAAGCGUGAUAGUUUGAGCCAGAGUGUUUUUCAAAUGAAAAACUUUUGCCAAGUGUAAAUAGCUUGGCGAAUAAGGACUGGGUAAGACGAGUGCCAGCCGCCGCGGUAAUACUCGCGGUCCAAGUCGCAGCCAUUUUUAUUGGGUCUAAAACAUCCAUAGCUUGCUUGAUAAGUUUCUUGUGAAAUUUUGUAUCUCAAAUGCAAAGCGUGCAAGAAGUACUGUCAAGCUAGAGACUGGAAGACGUAACGAGUACGUUUAGAGUAGCGGUUAAAUGUGUUAAUCCUAGACGGACUAACGAGAGCGAAGGCACGUUACGAGGACAGUUCUGACAGUAAGGGAUGAAGGCUAGGGGCGCAAAACGGAUUAGAUACCCGGGUAGUC
This 421-nucleotide ribosomal RNA is filed under the name uncultured archaeon. RNAcentral's name for it is "partial 16S ribosomal RNA". It matches the Rfam family "Archaeal small subunit ribosomal RNA", at positions 323 to 746 of the family's 1478-position model. The record is from RNAcentral.